UACGGAAGGCAGCAGUGGGGAAUAUUGCACAAUGGGCGCAAGCCUGAUGCAGCCAUGCCGCGUGUAUGAAAAAGGCCUUCGGGUUGUAAAGUACUUUCAGUCGUGAGGAAGGUGUUAAGGUUAAUAACCUUAGCAAUUGACGUUAGCGACAGAAGAAGCACCGGCUAACUCCGUGCCAGCAGCCGCGGUAAUACGGAGGGUGCGAGCGUUAAUCGGAAUUACUGGGCUAAAGGGCACGCAGGCGGUUAAUUAAGUUGGAUGUGAAAUCCCCGGGCUUAACCUGGGAAUGGCAUUCAAGACUGGUUAGCUAGAGUCUUGUAGAGGGGGUUAGAAUUCCAUGUGUAGCGGUGAAAUGCGUAGAGAUGUGGAGGAAUACCGGUGGCGAAGGCGGCCCCUGGACAAAGACUGACGCUCAUGUGCGAAAGCGUGGGGAGCAAACAGGGAUUAGAUACC
Molecule: ribosomal RNA, 453 nt
Filed under: uncultured bacterium
Lineage: Bacteria
Description: bacterial SSU rRNA
Rfam family: Bacterial small subunit ribosomal RNA
Source: RNAcentral